UACGGAGGAUGCGAGCGUUAUCCGGAUUUAUUGGGUUUAAAGGGUGCGUAGGCGGAUUGGUAAGUCAGUGGUGAAAUCCUGCAGCUUAACUGUAGAAUAGCCGUUGAUACUGUCAGUCUUGAGUACGGUCAAGGUAGGCGGAAUGUGUAAUGUAGCGGUGAAAUGCUUAGAUAUUACACAGAACACCAAUUGCGAAGGCAGCUUACUGGGCCACAACUGACGCUGAGGCACGAAAGCGUGGGGAGCGAAC
RNAcentral lists this ribosomal RNA (250 nucleotides) under uncultured bacterium. RNAcentral describes it as "partial 16S ribosomal RNA". It matches the Rfam family "Bacterial small subunit ribosomal RNA", at positions 524 to 773 of the family's 1533-position model. The record is from RNAcentral.